GGGGAGGUGCGCUGCCCGGCUCCCGUAAAGUUAUUGUGAAUGGGGAGCGGGUGACGUCAGCGCCGAAUGUCAACAAUGUAGCGAUUGAGAGUGUGGGCGUUCCGGGGAGAGCGGGAGCCGAGCGGCCCGGAGCAAACAGCGCCGAGCAGCCGCCGCCUCAGCAGCAGCGGCAGCAGCGACCGUGCACGCCCGGGCUGCGGUCGCAGCAGCGCUAACGCGAGCGCCCGCCGCCGCCCUAGCCACCCCGCCUGCCCACUCCCGCUGCCGCCGGGCUCUCGCUUUCUCCCCGGCCUCCCCUCGACCCUUCCCCUCCCCCUUCCCGGCACACUCGGGGGGCUGGGAACGUGCUGCCAUGUGAUGCGCGUCCUCUCCGCGAGCUUUCGGUGACCCCCCCUCCCAGGCUGCGGACCGGGAGGACGCGGGGAAGAGGAGGCGGAAAAGGACGCAAAGUUCUCUGGCGAGUGCAGCUGUCUGCUUCAGGACGUGAGGUCUGCAGGAACAAGGUGAAUCUUUAAGAGCUGCCUUGCAUUGUGACAUGUCUACUCCCUUGCUGCAGUCCUUACAGCAUGAACAAGGUGGACACUCGCUGACCUGUCACAGGGUUGCCCCACAGAGCUUUGGGGUCCAUGUCUGAAUGGAUUGCCGUAGCCUUCUCUUCUCUCCCUUCGCCCAGUUCCCUGCAUCCUAAGACUUGAAGCCAGCACGGGACCUGGAAAAAUUACAUCAUUCCGGGAAGUUUCAGUUUAUGAAGCAUCUUCACCAAGAAGUAAAAGAAAUGGGUUGGAUCGAAGGCUCCUUAAUCUCCCUCCUGCUCCUGCUUUCCUGCUUUGGCGUCUGUGAGUGUCCACGUUUACACUGCAGGUUUUCCUGAUAGGUGACCUUUGAUGUCAGUGAGUGUAAUAACUCCGAGCCAGUACGGGUAGAAGGCUGCUGUGACACCUCAGGCAACUUGGAGCUGCAGACUCCUGCUGGCCCUGGCGCCACCUGCCUGAAGCUCUCCCUGCAGCCUUGGGUGAAACACUCAAGGCACCAAGUGCCUAGCGCAUCUCUAUAAAGAUAUCAUGCAUGUGGAGGCGAGGGGUAUGUGGGACCCCACGGUGCUUUCCCUGCAGUUUUGCAGUCAACCUGAAACUGCACUAAAACAUUAAGUUUAUUAAUUAAAAAAAAACUGAAUACCCAACGGUAUGAUGAUUCCUCAAAAAUUUAAACACAGAACGACCAUAUGAUCCAGCAGUUCCACUUCUGGGUAUAAAAGAAGUGAAAGCAGGGUCUUGAACAGGUGUUUGUACACUCAUGUUCAUACAGCAUUAUUCACAAUAGCCCAGAGGUGGAAGCAACUCAAGUUUCUAUCAGCAAUGACUGAAUAAAGAAAAUGUGGUAUAUACAUACAAUGGAAUAUUAUUCGGUCUUAAAAAUAUGAAAUUCUGACACAUGCUCCAACAUGGAUGAAACAUGGCGAUACCAAGUGAAAUAAGCCAGACGCAAAAUGACAAAUAUUAUAUGAUCCCACUUAUAUGAGGCACCUAGACUAGUCAAAGUCAUAGUCAGAAAGUAUUUAGAAGGGUGGUUGCCAGGCGCUGGGAAUAAAGAGGAAAGGGAAGUUAGUGUUUAAUGGGUACAGAGUUUCACUUUGGGAAGAUGGAAAAGUUCUGGAGAUGGAUGGUGGUGAUAGUUACACAAUAAUGUGAACGUACUUAAUGCAACUGACCUGUACUCUUAAAAAUGAUUUACGUGGUAAAUGUUAUGUUAUGGGUAUUUUACCACACACACACAAAACCCCUGAAUGCCAGAGCUUACCUUCCUUCUAAGAAUACUGGGCGGAAUACUAAGUAGUGCUUGACAGGGAUGCUGUAGUUUGGGAGGGCGGAAGAAGCACAGAUGACUCUGUCCCUCACACCUCCAUCAGCCCUGACACUACCCUGGCCCCCUCUGGGAAAAUGUAAGGGACCUGCAGAAUGUUAGACUUCAGUCUUAGGAAUAGGUUUCCUACCGGGACAAGGACAUAUUUGUCAGAAGCCACUAGGGAAAUUUGCCAUCAAUGACCAUCAUCUCUUUCAGAAUGCCAUUUACACACGCAGGAAAGCUGCUUCACUGUGAUGGAGGGGACGUGUACCCUCCUGUGUUCCUGUCAUGGGGCUGCUGCAGUUCAUGUGAAUUGUGUCAUCAUAAAUGAGUCCGUGUACCACGCCCCGGGAUGCGUGCCUAGUGGCGGCAGGUGACAGGUCUUAGCAGUGGAGGCGGAUGUGGAAGCAGGAACCAGGGGAUAUAGACUUGCCACAGACUGAAGCCUAGUAGAAAAUGGAAACUUGGAAAGAAAAUUAGUAGCAAAUAGUUCUCCUGCAACAGGGCUUCUAAUUAUAAUGCCUGUUUGACCUUCUCCCGGUGAAGUACAAUUCAUCCCCCAUCACCAAAUCUCUGUAAUAUUGGGCACUAUGGUACCCAUAAAUCACAAAACAAUUGUAUGAAUGACCUGCAGGCCUGUGAGAAAAAUGCAGGAUUGAACCCACUAAGUCCAUUUGGGUCCUCCUUUGGGGGGGAUUUUGCUUUUUAUUCUAAGUUUCUAGAAAGCUGGCCUUGCAGAAUGAUCAGUGAAUUCUCACGGGGCUAGUAGCCAUGUUUCCCUCAGGUCUCCUUUACUUUACUACUUUACUAUUUUACUUUACUCCUUUCAGGCCCUGCCCUUAGGUCUGACCAGGGAUUGUAAUUCCUGAAGAGCGGUGCAUAAGGAUCCAUAGUUUCAAAGAGCUCAAAAACCUCUGUCCUAAAUUAUCCCACUUCCUCCAUAAGACAUCAGAAUCACUUAGAUAUGUGAGCGUGCGUGUGUGUGCACUAUAUACAUAUACAUACAUACAUAUUGUAUACAUAUACGUACAUACAUACAUGCGUAUGUAUGCAUUUGGCUCAAGGAAAAGGUAUAACCAAAAAAGAGGUGAAAUAAAGUCAUCAAAGUUGAAGUACAAUACACAUAAAUCAGUCUCUCAUUCCCACCCCCGACUUCCCAGACCUGCUUAGAAGUAAACUCUCCAUGCUUUUCACUUAGGUGAUGGACAACAGGGCGUAGCAACAAAGGUUUUGGAGUCAGUUGCCAUAGGGAGCUGCUAAAAUAUCAAAAAACUGGAAUUAAAGGUUUUUAUAGAAAAGAAAAUCCAGGUGAGCAAGGUCUAAGAGAGAGGAGAAGUAGGUGCUUAUUCAUCUUUGCACCCUAAGCGUGAGUUGAAACGACAUGGAUAUAGACUCUGAUCAAAACAAAUUCGGCGCCAGGAGUUUGGAGACCAUGAUUUUUGGGUGGACGCCCUGACACAGAUUCCCUGCAACGGUGACCCAGAGGAAAAGACAUGAGGUAGAGAAAACCACCAAAGACCGACCCUCGGGGGCUCUCCUGGUCAGCUCUCAUGGCCCCAAGAAUCAGAUGUGCCUGGUUACAGGCACUGAAUUCGUAUUUAGCGAUGGCUCAGCUACCUGCGACCCAAGUAACCAGAACCCUGAAUUAACCAGCCUUCAUACUUCCUACCCACCCCCUCCCAUACCCCACCCUACCGCUCACAUCUCACUUCCCUUUUUCAGUGAUAAAGAUUCAGAAAACAAGAUAGCUCUGGUUUAGUAAAGGUAGAGAAUAUACCCUGGAGGAUAUCUUUAGUUGGUGACACUGACCUGCUGAAUCACUGAGAAUGGUUAAAUCCUUUAUAAUUAGGAAAAGAAACUGCUUUGGAAACGUUUUCAACAAAAAGCAUUUUCUAACUGUCUGUCAAUUCACCGGAAAACUGAAACAAACCAAAACCUCAUCUUGCCUUCAAAUAGUCUAAUCAACUGAGGUUUUAUUGUCUAUUUUUGUGUCUUAAUAAUAAUCUAAAAAUGUUGACUUAGGAUAGAAAAAUAUAUAAUUCAUUUUUAUUCUUGAGAAACCGUGUGCAAGUUUUGGCUUUUACCACCUUUCCAGUGCCAGAGUUUAAAUCUCAGAUAUUCUGUUUACAUUUAUUCUGUUUAUUAUGUUUGG
This is a long non-coding RNA of Physeter macrocephalus (sperm whale), 3994 nucleotides long. RefSeq lists it as uncharacterized. NCBI's taxonomy places the organism in Eukaryota, Metazoa, Chordata, Mammalia, Artiodactyla, Physeteridae. The transcript has 4 exons. The record is from RefSeq and is a predicted model, not a curated record.